This 1560-nucleotide long non-coding RNA is filed under the name Pan troglodytes (chimpanzee). Its description in RNAcentral is "long non-coding RNA NONPTRT008449". The record is from RNAcentral. Lineage: Eukaryota; Metazoa; Chordata; Mammalia; Primates; Hominidae.
GGGGGGGAUGGUGGAACACGCUGACUGGUCUGGGCUAUUCAAGAUCCAUGAACUGGAAGAUGCUUUCUUAUAACUCAGAGAAAAGAGAUGAAAAUGAAUCAAAGAACAGGAAGGAGACAAGCUCAGGAGAGUCACCCUAAGAAGGACGUGUGGAAGACUUGACUGAUUGGAGGAUCAAAAUGUGUCGGGGGAAGGUGUACAAGGAGGAGUAAGGACACAGAUGUCCUGACUUCACACAGUGGGGGAUUAGAAGCCACCAUCAAAUACAGAUGAAACAGGAAUAAAAGUAGUAGUACAUUACUUAAGCUUUAAAAGGGUAAGACUCCUGGGAAUUUGGAAGCUGAGACUUGAGGAGCAGAGGCAUCUAGCUGUGUAAACACAGAGUUUCAGUGGCAGCACCCUAAAUGCUUAGCUGAUAGAUCCGGAAUUAAAUACAGACCUAGAAACUGGAGUUGGAAAACUUCCUGGCAGCACUCCUUCCCUGCCAUCCCGGUGAUCCCCUUCUGGAUGGAGGGCGUGGAGCUCAGCACAUUCACGUCUGCAGUUCUCAGAGAACCAAGUGUUAAGGAAUGUCAGGGAAGGAAGAAGGCAGCCAGCCAGGAAGGGGAGGUCCUGGCCUGAGCACGCCAGGCAUAGAGGGAUAGAGGGUAGCGAGGAAACUGCACCUGUCUCCAAUCCUCGACCCCGGCCCCGAAACACGACAUUGGCUGAAACAGAUUAAAAGCAUAAAAUGGCACAAAGAAAUGGGAGAAGGUUGGCCUCUGGUCGGGCAAACAUGAGGGCAUGAAGAUGUAUAGUGUCCCACACGGGAGGAAGCCCUUGCCGGGCCCCUCAGGAUUUAUAACAAGCUCACCUGAAGGAGAAACUUCAGGGGCACUUACACCAUCAGAUACCUAGAAAGGAGCUGUCAUUUCCUCACUGAAGAGUUUGCAAGCAGAUGGAAAAUGUGUGUCUGGAUCAUCUUGUGGCCCGAAUGGGGAGAAAAGAUGCAGUAUUCCAAAGCAGGAGAUUCACUGAAAAAGAUGUUUAAGAAGUUGCUGAUGAAGAAAAGUUCAGGAUUCACAGCUCCAUCCAAAGGGAAUAGCCACUUUUCUCAUUUUGAGAUAUGACUACUAACAAGUAUUAUUCUGCAUCUUCAGCCAGGCUGUGGAAGGCCCCAUUCUUUCUGUAACACAGAUGUUCAAUUGGAAUUUUCCACCUGGUCACGUAAUUCUACUUUGGGAUUUAACAGGUUAACUUGGCACUGGUCACUGGCCUCUGAGGGUAAAAUAUGAUAGUUCAGCAUAGAUUCUAUUUGUUGAUAACUCAUCAUAGCCACAUUGGCAUCAAUAAGUUUUCUGUAGGGCACACUUUUCCUUUAAUGUGGACACAGUCACAUAAUAAUAUGCUUAUGGUGCAGACAUUGGUUCUAAACUCACUUUGCAUUAUCUGUAUCUGCAUCUAUAUCUGUAACUGUAUCUAUCUGUAUCUACAUCUGUAUCUGUAUCUGUACUUAUAUCUGUAUCUGUAUCUAUCUGUAUCUAUAUCUGUAUCUGUCUGUAUAUCCGUAUCUGUAUCUAC